Molecule: long non-coding RNA, 4980 nt
Filed under: Sus scrofa (pig)
Lineage: Eukaryota; Metazoa; Chordata; Mammalia; Artiodactyla; Suidae
Description: lncRNA (ENSSSCG00005035639.1)
Source: RNAcentral
AAAACCAAAGAUGCAGGAGACAAAAGUUAUUCCUAACAGGAUAAGGUUCAGGUGGGAUAUCAAGGAAGUGGACUCAAGAACACGGGUGGAGGGAUUUGCUUAGGCAGCAGGUGGAGCACUUAUUUAGGCAGAAAGAAUGAAUGGGAUUGAUAAAGAGAAAAUCUGCGGGGAGUAUAAGGAAAGAAGUUGGUGGAACUGAGGUCCAAAGACCUUCAAUGACUUCCAAAAACCAAGAAGCAAACUCUUAAAUGUAUAAACUCAUUUUAAAAACAUGUUAACAUUUCUUUGUGAGCAUACAGAGGGUCUGUGUGUACGUUAUGAGGGAUCCAGAGACUAUAAAAGACCCCAAACUAUCUAAACACAUGUGCAUGUGCUGUCAUAUAUAUACACAUAGAUACACCCAUACAUAUGCAUGCAUGUAUACACAGAGCAAAAAUGCAAGCCCAUUCCAAAACUAGAUAUCAUCAUUUAUUACACUGUUCACAGUAGCAACUUAAGACUUUUUCCCAAUUUCUCCUUUUCCCUGCAGAGGCUCUUUCUAUGAAACUAGUGCCCAUCACAAACAGGAUGGAACUGAGCACCCACCACACGCCCAGAACACAUGUAAGUGCACAAGCAGAAGUGCCUGUCUACCGAAGCAGGACACAUCAGCAUAGGGCCAGGAAUGAUCUUUUUAGAUAAAAUUAAUUGUAGAAGCAGAGAAAAAGAAUCUAAAAAGACAACAUUUAAAAAAGGAGGUGAGAAACAAGUUUAUUUCCCAAAAUGCAAGAACUGGUGCACCUUUUUAUCUGAUUAUGUAAAAAGAGAAGACUGUGUGAGCAAGGCAAGAAGGGUUCACUGGGGAUACUGCUUUAGAAUUCUACCUUAAAAAAAAAUUGAGGCAUUCAUUCUUUUAUAUUAAGAAGAAACUGGAGAGGAUUUUAAGGGAAUAUAUAAGAAUACCAAAAACUCCUUUAAGAAAAAGAAAAAGUUCAAUAAGGAGGAAAUACAGUUGUAACGUGGGUGGGCAUAGAAAAUUAUUUAGGGAAGAGACAAUCAAACGUGUGAGCAAAAACGUAACCAGAACUCACAGAGCUAUUUUGAGAGUGAAAACCAAGUGAAAAAUGUCAAGUAUAGGAUUAUUCUUAUUUGACAUUUUUAUACAGCACCAACUUAUAAAAACAUCAAACAUGGCAUAAUCCUUUCUCUAGCAUUUUAACACGUCAUUAUAGUCUUAACAAGGACAAAUGGCUAUAGCCAUUCAUGUACUUUUUAAUAGAUUACUUUUAUCAUAAAAAUGUCAUUUUAGGAUAAUCUGCAUUCUUACAUUUUUAUGUUCAGCUGUGGUCUUUAAAUGUCAAGUAUAGGAGAUAUCUAGGUCUCCAAUUCUUAGAGUCUUUACUACAGAUCUUGUGAAUAUCAGCAUAAAAACAAGCCUUAAUCUGAUACGGCUGCUGUACUCAAUUCACCCUUUCUAUAAUUUUUCUCCUUUUAAAAAUAAUUACAAAGUACAUGUAUUAGGUAAAGAUGCGAUUGUGGGUUAAAGCCGUAAUAGGCAGGAAAUUUGUAAUGAAGCCCACUUUGAUCCACAUGAAAGUUAUCACAUGUUCAGCCACCCAGGGUCACAUUCCCACAGGCACUACUGUAUAGGAGACAGUUGACCUGCCUGCUCAAUUAGCAAUGAUAGCAACAAUGUAUCAUUUCACUUCAGGAGCUCACAUGUGCCAAAUGUCCAACCAGAGUUCUUGGACUGUUCCUCUUAAAAGUGGAGAAACAAAGCAAACAUCAAAGAUCCGGCAACUGAACCACAGAAUGGGAAUUAGAACUCCAAUGAGUCAAUAGUCUAGGGCAGAUAACGGCAAACUUUUUCUGUAAAGGGCCAAAUAGUCAAUGGUUUAGGCUAGAAGGCCACACAGUCUCUGUUACAACUGCUCAAGUCUGAUACUAUAAUGCCAACAGAGACCACACAGAAAUGAGUGGGCAUAGUUGCAUAGCAAUAAAACUUUAUUUACAAAACCAGGAAUUGGGCCAACCCUUGACCUAGUGAAUGAACUCACAUCAUCUAUCAAAGAUCACAGCUCAAACCUUCGUUUCUAAUUUCAUCUAGAUUAAGUAAUUAUAAUAAUGAUGAGAUCUUCUAGAUACAAAGAAACUCAAGCUCAGAGAGGUAAUAUUAAUUAUAGGUGGGGAGUUCCCGUCAUGGCGCAGCAGAAACAAAUCUGACUAGGAAUCAUGAGAUUGCGGGUUUGAUCCCUGGCCUUGCUCAGUGGGUUGAGGAUCCAGCAUUGCCAUGAGCUGUGGUGUAGGUCUCAGACGCGGCUCGGAUCUGGCAUUGCCGUGGCUCUGGUGUAGGCUGGUGGCGACAGCUCUAAUUCGACCCCUAGCCUGGGAACUUCCAUGUGCUGAGGGUGUAGCCCUACAAAGACAAAAGACAAAAAUACACAUAUAUAUAUAUAGAGAGAGAGAGGUCAUUCAGCUUAAAAUAAAGGAGAAAAAAUUUGAAAGUAGGCAUCUUGAAUUAAAGCUUAAGAACCUAACUACUACCUGAUGCUCAAUGCAUGUAACUUGUGGAUAAUAAGAAAACAUGGAGGGUGAUCUGUAUUUCUUAAACUUACAAAACUAGAGAGGGAACACUCCUAGUGGCUACAUAUCCUGAAUUGGUCCCAUUCUGAUCUAACUGUGAGUGUGCUACUGGACACCCACCCACCACACUGGAGAAUAAGACCUUCUACAAACUGAAUUCUCCAACCAGCUAAUAGGCCAUUAAGUGCUCUCAGCUAUCACGGGGAAAAGGCCCUGGACUAGGGCAGCAAGAAUAAACAUGGUAGAUGAAUUCAAAUCAAAGGCAAAACCAGAAAGGAAUCUUCCCUAUUACCGCCACCUCCAGAAAGGCUUGCACCUGGAUUUCUCAGCUCAUCCCCCGCCACUCUCUAGCUCCACUGGGAGAACGAAUGAAAAACAGAUUUUCAACAUAAACGGAAACCAUGAUGUGAUGCUUCUAGCAUCUGUUGUUUGCGUGGCACAUUCCCAACUCACAAUAUCCUCAAAGUAGACUAUUAUUUUAUCCUCGUCUCACAAAUGAAGUAGAGGGGUCAUUAAGACUCAGUGAAUCUUCAAGCCACCCAAUAAGGAAAGGCUCAAUACCAACUCUUCUACAUCAGCCUCGAGGCCUCUUCCCUCCCAACCAGACUGUCUUCUGAUCUUCGAAAGUGACCUACAGAGUGACAGGGUAUUUUUUGGUUUUUUUUGCUUCUUAGGGCCACACCUGAGCCAUAUGGAAGUUUCAAGGCUAGGAGUCAAAUCUGAGCUACAGCUGCUGGCCUACAUCACAGCCACAGCAACAUGGGAUCUGAGCCGAGUCUUCAACCUACACCACGGCUCACCGCAAUGCCGGAUCCUUAACCCACUCAGCAAGGCAAGGAUUGAGCCCACAUCCUCAUGGGUACUAGCCAGAUUAGUUUCUGCUGUGCCACGACAGGAAAUUCCCAGAGUGACAGUUUGAAAGGCAAGCCACAAAUGUCGAACAGCACUGGACAAACAUAGACUUUUUUUUGUUCAACUGAGGACCCUGAAAAAGAAAAUCAGAAAAACCCAAAUCUUAAGUGAUCUUCUUCAUUAUGGUGAAUUUCAGGUAAUUUAUAAAAAUAGAAGGGAAAUCAGGGUUCCUGUCGUGCCUCAGCGGCUAACGAACCUGACCUGCAUCUAAGAGGAUCCCUGUCCUUGUUCAGUGGGUUAAGAACCCGGCGUUACCGUGAGCUGAGGUGUAGGUCGCAGAGGCGCCUCGGAUCCCACAGUGCUGUGGCCCUGGCAUAGGCUGGCAGCUGUAGCUCCGAUUAGACCCCUAGCCUGGGAACCUCCAUAUGCUGCAGGUGUGGCCCUAAAAAGAGAGAAAGACAAAAAUAAAAAUAAAAAAUAAAAAAACAGAAGGGAAAGCUUGGGAAAAUUUGCCCCAGAGGCCCAGAAGUUACAAGAUCUGCUCUCAACCCUUUCUACCCAGCAGCAGCUCUUUGUGGAGCCUUGGCUGCCUAGGUCAUGUCACACCCAAGCCAUUUCUUGAUUUGCUGGUCACAGUAGGAGGGGAGCUCCAGGCUCAGGCUCUGCUGCGUACUGUCCCGUCAUUGCACAAUGGCUGCUCUUUUCCUUUCGGCGCCAGCAGCUCCUCUCACUCCCAAACACAGGGCAAAGAAUGCAAAACAUCAAAGCCAGGUCUAAAUUUUGUCAACUAGAUUUGAUUAUUCUUUCAAACAUUGAGACAGACCUCUAGUCUCAACAAAAGUUGUCAGGAGCUGAGGCGAAUAGCUAAGGACAAAAAUUGCCCCCAUUUAUAAGAGAUAAAGUCAAAACUCUUAUCAUUUCUCCUUGAAGCAAAUGUGUGUGUUUACCAAUACACACAUACAUUAAUUUUUCCAGUUUCCUUGUUAAAGAAGAAAAUGUCUAAUUUACAUGUAGAGUCCACAAAUUAUAGCCAUACCACACAAAGAAGCAGAUGAAGAUCGUGAUUGAGAUUCCAAAAUUUCCGCCCGGAUUUCUCCAUCCUUAGAAUUAGCCACUGUAUAAAUCAAACUGACAUAUUAACAUCUGAUGUCGAAACCAAUAGGCCACAUCUGUGAAAAGUAUCAAAAACAUAAAGAACUGCAUCCUUCCCGUUCCUUUGAAAAAACGCCACCCCUUCCACUGUCCCUACCACCAUUUCCACCAUUGUACCUUAAAAUAUCCUGUCGAAGAAAAUGUGACUUUUCCUAUGCAUAUUGGUAUAAACAAUGGGCAAUUUUUCUUUCCACUUGGUUGUGUAGAAAACUAGGAAUUAACAUUAUUUUCCACAGUAGAUCUGAAUGAAACCUUGGCUGUUACUAGGAGACAGCUAUUACUGAAACACACAGGUGUAUAUUGCCGACCAGUAACCUAACAGAGAUGAAAAUCUCUCAUUUCUUAAGAGCAUUUCUGUUUCUGGUAACCUGGGGUAACACAUCUCAGAGUUGAAAGGCACAGACUACCAAGUUA